Molecule: long non-coding RNA, 617 nt
Organism: Nerophis ophidion (straightnose pipefish)
Lineage: Eukaryota; Metazoa; Chordata; Actinopteri; Syngnathiformes; Syngnathidae
Exons: 3
Source: RefSeq, a predicted model, not a curated record
CCCUGAUUGGCCCGGUCGCAAAAUUAUUAAUGGUAUAAUGCGUCCAACAAAACGAGAAUUAUGCUUGGAGUGAGUGUGACCAAUGAAGUCUCUCGUGUAAUGACACGCGUGGCGUACGUGAUCGUCAUCAUCAUCAUCAUCAUCAUCACGCGCGCUGACGAAAUAUUCGUCACUUUUGCUGCAUUGCUGCCAGCGUGAAACUUAAUGCGACUUUUCUGCCUUCAUCCCCCACGGCGGCCCGAGGCGAGACGUGUUGGCACGGAGACCCACUUGGAGCCCAGACCCUCAAAAUCCUGCAUGGGACACUUUUGGACACUUUCCCACACACCAGGUCCUUAGACAAUACGUCAUGGUUGGAUGAGGGGGCGACGUUAAUGAAUCCUCCUGUUGCAGAAAAGUCCUUCAGGUUUCAGUCAGGAUAUCUACAGGGCUCAAGCAGCACCUCCUCCUCCUCCAGCCCCGCAGCUCUGCGAUGGAGACACCGAGGAGGGAAGGUGAUCGCGCUGAAUAAUUGAUCAGGUCGGCUCGCUCAGGAACUCCAUGAAGUCAUUGGUCGCUCUGUUGCAUCCCCUGGAGGACCAGCCUGACUCGCUUUUUCCUUCACGGUACUUUGCAAC